UACGGAGGAUCCGAGCGUUAUCCGGAUUUAUUGGGUUUAAAGGGUGCGUAGGUGGAUUAAUAAGUCAGUGGUGAAAUCCUGCAGCUUAACUGUGGAACUGCCAUUGAUACUGUUAGUCUUGAGUAUGGUCAAGGUAGGCGGAAUGUGUAAUGUAGCGGUGAAAUGCUUAGAUAUUACACAGAACACCGAUUGCGAAGGCAGCUUACUGGGCCAUUACUGACGCUGAUGCACGAAAGCGUGGGGAUCGAACAGGAUUAGA
RNAcentral lists this ribosomal RNA (259 nucleotides) under uncultured prokaryote. Its description in RNAcentral is "partial 16S ribosomal RNA". It matches the Rfam family "Bacterial small subunit ribosomal RNA", at positions 524 to 782 of the family's 1533-position model. The record is from RNAcentral.